GAGGAGUUGGUACAAAACUGGUGCUCUUGAGCUUGAGUGGAUUUGUUACUAUAACAGAUUCAUUUUCAGCAUUAAUUUUAUUUUUUUUAUAUCAGUAAGAGUUAACAUGGGAUGUGUAACCAGCAUAAAAAGCCAAACACUUAAGUGCUAAUUAUUUUUCAAAGAAAAAAUUUUUUUCAUUGAGAUACAACAAAAUAAUGUAAGAUGUUUCUUCUGCACUUAAUAUAAAACCAACUUCUUUAAGUUUCUGUAUACAAUGUGUGUCCAUUUAUAAUGUUAGUAGCUAACCUCUCCUGUUGUUUCUUUAUUCAGACUUAUACAGAUUCCCUUUUCCUCUGAGGAGUGUAAUUAUGAGAAUCAGGAAUAAUAUUUUCAAAUUGUCACAUAAAUAUUUCCGACAUUCCACACUCUAUGGAUUUUGUACACACACAACUCUGACCUUCUUCUGGACUUUAGGAUCAUACUUCCAAGGAGGCUAGGGAGAAGAUGAAUUGAUGAAUAUGUAAAGCAGUGAACAGUUCAUUGGGGAUGCACGUUUUCAUAAAAGGACACAUCCCUUCUCCUUACAUUGAGCAAGGUACAAUGCCUAGCACACUUAUCUACCAAGGUCCCAAGCAUUGAUCCAGGAUAUGAAAGCCACUAUUAAGAUGUUCUGGAGGAUGAGACAUGGGAACAUCCUAGCCCAGCUAUCACCUGACUGCAAUGGUAUGACAGACUUCAAGUGAAACCAGAAGAACUGCCCAGGGUCUCGAAAGGGAUAAAAAAGAAGGGCAGGAGAUAUCAGAAGGGCUACUUUUCCCAGAAGAAAAAAAAAAAAGCUAUUUUGGCUUCAGAAACCAAAUAAUGGAAAAGUGAAGACAAUUCUAUAGUACUCUAGCAAAUACAGAAACGCUGCACUUGCAGGCAACAGAUGGGAAGGCAGUUAGUGAA
Molecule: long non-coding RNA, 930 nt
Organism: Herpailurus yagouaroundi (jaguarundi)
Lineage: Eukaryota; Metazoa; Chordata; Mammalia; Carnivora; Felidae
Exons: 5
Source: RefSeq, a predicted model, not a curated record